Molecule: ribosomal RNA, 498 nt
Filed under: uncultured bacterium
Lineage: Bacteria
Description: partial 16S ribosomal RNA
Rfam family: Bacterial small subunit ribosomal RNA
Source: RNAcentral
GAUGAACGCUAGCGGCAGGCCUAAUACAUGCAAGUCGAACGAUACUUUCCAGCUUGCUGGAAAGGAAAGUGGCGCACGGGUGCGUAACGCGUAUGCAACCUACCUUAAUCAGGGGGAUAGCCCGAAGAAAUUCGGAUUAACACCGCAUAAAAUCACAGUACAGCAUUGUACAAUGAUCAAAUAUUUAUAGGAUUAAGAUGGGCAUGCGUGACAUUAGCUAGUUGGCGGGGUAACGGCCCACCAAGGCGACGAUGUCUAGGGGAUCUGAGAGGAUGACCCCCCACACUGGUACUGAGGCACGGACCAGACUCCUACGGGAGGCAGCAGUAAGGAAUAUUGGUAAAUGGAGGCAACUCUGAACCAGCCAUGCCGCGUGCAGGAAGACAGCCCUCUGGGUCGUAAACUGCUUUUAUUCGGGAAUAAACCUACUUACGUGUAAGUAGCUGAAUGUACCGAAGGAAUAAGGAUCGGCUAACUCCGUGCCAGCCGCCGCGGUAA